Molecule: transfer RNA, 77 nt
Filed under: bacterium
Lineage: Bacteria
Description: tRNA-Glu
Rfam family: tRNA
About the family: Transfer RNA (tRNA) molecules are approximately 80 nucleotides in length.
Source: RNAcentral
GCCGCGUUCGUCUAGUGGUCUAGGACACCGCCCUCUCACGGCGGAGAUCAGGGGUUCAACUCCCCUACGCGGUACCA